RNAcentral lists this long non-coding RNA (224 nucleotides) under Elaeis guineensis (African oil palm). RNAcentral describes it as "long non-coding RNA (EGUI_LNC005756)". Lineage: Eukaryota; Viridiplantae; Streptophyta; Magnoliopsida; Arecales; Arecaceae. The record is from RNAcentral.
GUGGAGGGAAAGAAUUCCAUGCGGCAUCUCCGGCCUCCGCUUCUUCGCCUGGGGAUCGGAGGGAACGCCUCGGCGGUGGCCUUGCAAGCCUUGCAGGCCCUGCUGAAAUUGAUCUGGCUUCUUGGGCUUAGGAAACGAAAGACGAGACCCAGUACGUCUUUUGGGAUGCUCGCCGAAGAAGAGACCUCCGAGGGAUUCGCCAUGGAGAAGAAAUUAAAAGACAG